RNAcentral lists this transfer RNA (72 nucleotides) under Candidatus Kaiserbacteria bacterium RIFCSPHIGHO2_02_FULL_49_11. Its description in RNAcentral is "tRNA-Lys". It matches the Rfam family "tRNA". From Rfam's summary of the family: Transfer RNA (tRNA) molecules are approximately 80 nucleotides in length. Their secondary structure includes four short double-helical elements and three loops (D, anti-codon, and T loops). Further hydrogen bonds mediate the characteristic L-shaped molecular structure. tRNAs have two regions of fundamental functional importance: the anti-codon, which is responsible for specific mRNA codon recognition, and the 3' end, to which the tRNAs corresponding amino acid is attached (by aminoacyl-tRNA synthetases). tRNAs cope with the degeneracy of the genetic code in two manners: having more than one tRNA (with a specific anti-codon) for a particular amino acid; and 'wobble' base-pairing, i.e. permitting non-standard base-pairing at the 3rd anti-codon position. The record is from RNAcentral. Lineage: Bacteria; Candidatus Kaiseribacteriota.
CCGCCCAUAGCUCAAUGGUAGAGCAGCGGACUUUUAAUCCGUUGGUUGGAGGUUCGAGCCCUCCUGGGCGGA